UGUCCUUAGUUGCCAGCACGUAAUGGUGGGAACUCUAAGAGACUGCCGGUGACAAACCGGAGGAAGGUGGGGACGACGUCAAGUCAUCAUGGCCCUUACGACCUGGGCUACACACGUGCUACAAUGGCCAGUACAGAGGCUGCAAGACCCGCGAGGGGGAGCUAAUCUCACAAAGCUGGUCGUAGUCCGGAUCGCAGUCUGCAACUCGACUGCGUGAAGUUGGAAUCGCUAGUAAUCGUGAAUCAGAAUGUCACGGUGAAUACGUUC
This 267-nucleotide ribosomal RNA is filed under the name uncultured Gammaproteobacteria bacterium. RNAcentral describes it as "partial 16S small subunit ribosomal RNA". It matches the Rfam family "Bacterial small subunit ribosomal RNA", at positions 1106 to 1373 of the family's 1533-position model. The record is from RNAcentral. Lineage: Bacteria; Pseudomonadati; Pseudomonadota; Gammaproteobacteria.